GAUGAAGAACGUAGCGAAAUGCGAUACUUGGUGUGAAUUGCAGAAUCCCGUGAACCAUCGAGUCUUUGAACGCAAGUUGCGCCCGAAGCCAUUAGGCCGAGGGCACGCCUGCCUGGGCGUCACACGUCGUUGCCCCCCCAUCUACUCCUUCGGGAUUGCGGGGGGCGGAUGAUGGCCUCCCGUGCGCCUCGUCGCGCGGUUGGCAUAAAUGCCAAGUCCUCGGCGACGCACGUCACGACAAUCGGUGGUUGCGAAACCUCGGUUGCCCGUCGUGUGCGGUCGUCGCGCAUCGAGGGCUGGAAAAAAUUGCCGGGCUCCGGCUCGGCUUUCAACGCGACCCCAGGUCAGGCGGGGUUACCCGCUGAAUUUAAGCAUAUCAAUAAGCGGAGGA
RNAcentral lists this unclassified non-coding RNA (391 nucleotides) under soil metagenome. RNAcentral's name for it is "partial contains 5.8S ribosomal RNA, internal transcribed spacer 2, and large subunit ribosomal RNA". The stretch from base 1 to 122 matches the Rfam family "5.8S ribosomal RNA", at positions 35 to 154 of the family's 154-position model. The record is from RNAcentral.